GUAAUAGUUAGCACUUGGACUAGAAGAUCAGAGCUACUGAGAAAAUUGCCCCCAGACUCUCUGUCUGCUUCUGGGAGGUACCAGGGCCAGAGAAGAAAAGACCAAGUUCUGAGGAUGAAAUGGUCUUUGCUAUCAGAGAAGCAGUAGAGAGAGCCAUGAACGAGAUACAGAAGACCUCUCUCUACCUGGGACAGUGGAACUUUCUCUCCAGCUAGCAGGUUCUUUCUAGGAGCAGCGAAUGAAGGAUCAGCGUUCGAAUAUCUGAAGUUGUGCCUGUAAAACUCUUCGGCAGCCCACUGCACUGCUUUGCCUGUGGGUGCACCCCACCGCCCGGCUCUGCCUGACCGGGGAAGUGAAUGAGGUGAUCUUUUCAUUGUUGUUUCCCCAGCAACGGGCAAAAUGCCUAGAGCGGAGUGGGCACAUGCAGAGGAAGAAUCUGGAGGGGUUGGAGGAAGCAGGAGUCCAUGGCCAAGAUGCUGUAUACCUACCUGUGGCCGGAAUGAUUUGGAACUGUCUUUCUUCAGUGUCCAGGAGAAGCUUAGACUCAAAAGUUUUACUGUGAUGCUGAAAAAGAUAAAUGCUAUGUAGUUGUCUAAGGAAAUAUAUGUUACUGUUAGUUUUUUAAAAAAGGUUUUAUGAACAGGGGACGCCUAGGUGGUGCAGUUGGUUAAGCGGCUGACUCUUGAUUUCAGCUCAGGUCAUGAUCUCAGGG
Molecule: long non-coding RNA, 712 nt
Organism: Zalophus californianus (California sea lion)
Lineage: Eukaryota; Metazoa; Chordata; Mammalia; Carnivora; Otariidae
Exons: 4
Source: RefSeq, a predicted model, not a curated record